RNAcentral lists this long non-coding RNA (328 nucleotides) under Populus tremula. RNAcentral describes it as "long non-coding RNA (PTRE_LNC001678)". The record is from RNAcentral. Lineage: Eukaryota; Viridiplantae; Streptophyta; Magnoliopsida; Malpighiales; Salicaceae.
AACAUGAUAUUUUACACACACACAAGCAGCUUAAGAUUAAACAAGUUCUCAAUGCCCUCCAAAAGUACACAUGAGACUAUGGAGAUCGAAUGCAUGAGAAUACAAUUAUUGCCACAAAAAAGAUACAGCAAUAUAAAGUAACUUGAGUUUAUUCUCUACCGGAUCUGAGCCCACUUGAAGAGUUUCCAGUAAAUUUUCAGCCAUUUCCUCUCACCUCAUCGGCAAUAUUUAUUGUACGAUUGGAUGCAUUUGACUGGUGAUAAAAUGCAUCAUUGGUUUCUUUCACAUAAUGCUACAGUUAGAUUUUGAUGAACCAUCACCAAUAGCA